This 743-nucleotide ribosomal RNA is filed under the name uncultured bacterium. Its description in RNAcentral is "bacterial SSU rRNA". It matches the Rfam family "Bacterial small subunit ribosomal RNA", at positions 741 to 1482 of the family's 1533-position model. The record is from RNAcentral.
UGACGUUCCAGGUGCGANAGCGUGGGGAGCAAACAGGAUNAGAUACCCUGGUAGUCCACGCNGUAAACGAUGUNGANUUGGAGGUUNGUGCCCNUGAGGCGUGGCUUCNGGAGCUAACGCGUUAAGUCGACCGCCUGGGGAGUACGGCCGCAAGGUUAAAANUNAANNGAAUUGACGGGGGCCCGCACAAGCGGUGGAGCAUGUGGUUUAAUUCGAUGCAACGCGAAGAACCUUACCUGGUCUUGACAUCCACGGAAGUUUUNAGAGAUGAGAAUGUGCCUUCGGGAACCGUGAGACAGGUGCCGCAUGGCUGUCGUCAGCUCGUGUUGUGAAAUGUUGGGUUAAGUCCCGCAACGAGCGCAACCCUUAUCCUUUGUUGCCAGCGGUCCGGCCGGGAACUCAAAGGAGACUGCCAGUGAUAAACUGGAGGAAGGUGGGGAUGACGUCAAGUCAUCAUGGCCCUUACGACCAGGGCUACACACGUGCUACAAUGGCGCAUACAAAGAGAAGCGACCUCGCGAGAGCAAGCGGACCUCAUAAAGUGCGUCGUAGUCCGGAUUGGAGUCUGCAACUCGACUCCAUGAAGUCGGAAUCGCUAGUAAUCGUGGAUCAGAAUGCCACGGUGAAUACGUUCCCGGGCCUUGUACACACCGCCCGUCACACCAUGGGAGUGGGUUGCAAAAGAAGUAGGUAGCUUAACCUUCGGGAGGGCGCUUACCACUUUGUGAUUCAUGACUGGGGUG